This 491-nucleotide ribosomal RNA is filed under the name uncultured bacterium. RNAcentral describes it as "partial 16S ribosomal RNA". It matches the Rfam family "Bacterial small subunit ribosomal RNA", at positions 29 to 507 of the family's 1533-position model. The record is from RNAcentral.
AGUGAACGCUGGCGGUAGGCCUAACACAUGCAAGUCGAACGGCAGCACAGUAAGAGCUUGCUCUUACGGGUGGCGAGUGGCGGACGGGUGAGGAAUACAUCGGAAUCUACUUUUUCGUGGGGGAUAACGUAGGGAAACUUACGCUAAUACCGCAUACGACCUACGGGUGAAAGCAGGGGAUCUUCGGACCUUGCGCGAUUGAAUGAGCCGAUGUCGGAUUAGCUAGUUGGCGGGGUAAAGGCCCACCAAGGCGACGAUCCGUAGCUGGUCUGAGAGGAUGAUCAGCCACACUGGAACUGAGACACGGUCCAGACUCCUACGGGAGGCAGCAGUGGGGAAUAUUGGACAAUGGGCGCAAGCCUGAUCCAGCCAUACCGCGUGGGUGAAGAAGGCCUUCGGGUUGUAAAGCCCUUUUGUUGGAAAGAAAAGCAGCAGGUUAAUACCCCGCUGUCCUGACGGUACCCAAAGAAUAAGCACCGGCUAACUUCGUG